UACGUAGGGUGCGAGCGUUGUCCGGAAUCACUGGGCGUAAAGGGCGCGUAGGCGGCUUUAUAAGUCGGGGGUGAAAGCCUGUGGCUCAACCACAGAAUUGCCUUCGAUACUGUAGAGCUUGAGACCGGAAGAGGUAAGUGGAACUGCGAGUGUAGAGGUGAAAUUCGUAGAUAUUCGCAAGAACACCAGUGGCGAAGGCGGCUUACUGGUCCGGUUCUGACGCUGAGGCGCGAAAGCGUGGGGAGCAAACAGG
This 253-nucleotide ribosomal RNA is filed under the name uncultured bacterium. RNAcentral describes it as "partial 16S ribosomal RNA". It matches the Rfam family "Bacterial small subunit ribosomal RNA", at positions 524 to 776 of the family's 1533-position model. The record is from RNAcentral.